Long non-coding RNA from Corvus hawaiiensis (hawaiian crow), 2311 nucleotides. RefSeq lists it as uncharacterized. The transcript is spliced from 4 exons. The record is from RefSeq and is a predicted model, not a curated record. NCBI's taxonomy places the organism in Eukaryota, Metazoa, Chordata, Aves, Passeriformes, Corvidae.
CAGGGAGCAAGGAACCAAUUGCAAUUCCUCAUUAAAAAUCACUCCUGCUUAAUUCCUGCAACUCCAGUUGUGGACACUGAAUCUCAACCCUAAGCCUUGAGUGGAAAUUCAAUUUGGUGAACACAGUCAAGGAAGAUCCUUCAGGAAAGGAAAAAACCAAAUCUUACAUCACAUAUAAAACCUGAAAUUCUCUCAGGAUGCAUCUUCAGAAAAUGUGGCAUUGAACAUCUGAAGAAAAUAAUGAGCCUGAAACUAAUACAAUAAAAGUUCUGUGGCUGAUCCCAGGGAGCUGUGCAUGGUCUUCUUGGAGUGACUUGGAAGGAAGGGGACUCUUAUCAAGCAACAAAUGAGGACAAAUAAUCAUUCUUAGAAAAUGUUCAGGACAAAAACCUGUCUGCACCACCGCCCUGUAACAUUUAGAGCAAAGAACCCAUCUGAAGAUGUCCCCUUGUUUUUCUGAUGGUGGAAUGUCUGUGAGCAGAACAGAAUGGCACCAGAUUGGUUUAAUCACAGGCAAUACCUCAUGCUUUUUCUUUUUCUAGGUGAAUUGAAUGAAUUGUGUUAUCUCCUAAAUCACAUGGAAUAUUUUCUCUCAGUUGGGCCCAGAAGACAAAGAUUGAGUCCCUCCUCAAAGCAAGGGGACAAGAGAGCAGCUUCACUCCACAAAGGAAUUUCCAGUCCCCAUAAAAUGCUUUCACCCACUUUUUUUGUUCCUCCCCUUGUCUGCCCCUCCAGCACAUAGACAGAGUCAGCGUCAGAGAUUUAUUUUAGACGUUUGCUCCCCCUUAACUCCUUCUUGAAACUUCUCUCCCAACUUUUGCUGAAUUUAGUACAAUGCAUCUAAAACUUUUCUGGCAGCUCUCACACCCGCAAAUUUCAGAAGGAUUCUGCCUUUCUCUGAGAGCUCUGCAAUUCCUCUUCUACCACAGCAAGCCCACUGUCCAGGAAGUCUAACAGAGCCUCAUUUACUGAAUCACAAAGUUUUUGCCCAAGGAGCUCCCUGCAGCCCUGCCUGAGCCGCUGCCUCCCUCAGAGAGGUGCCAGGAGCCUGUUGUUCCUGCAGGAAACAUGGAGCCGCAUCCACCUGGGCUCCACAAGGAAUUUCCUGGUGCUUGCCGCAGCUGUGCUUCACCCAGUGUCCUACCUGGCCACCGCCCUCCUCUGCCACUUGGUACCAACCCAAGUGCUGUGGCACACAGAAGCCCUGGGUUUCUCUAACUCUCUCUACAAAGUCAGGGAGAGGUUGGAACUGCCAUCCAAAAAUAACUUUGUGCCGAGGUUUCAUCAAUGAAAUCAGAAGAUUUGCUGAUCCAGACUGUAAAAUACAAUUUUAGCUCCUCAUCCGUGGUGCAGCUUUCUGUAACAGGGAUCAACAGGGAAACUCCCACUCCAGCUUGAACAUAAGGUCCAUAAAUAGCCAAGCCCACUAACAAGUACUUCAUUAGUGCUCCAUGGCAACACUGAAGUGGUUUUGCUGUUCCUACAAGUCCCACAGUUGAGUGAGGAGGCAUGAUUUGCUUUUUCUCUUUGUCAUCCAUGAGGGCAAAGAAGAUAAGGGAGCCAAAAGAAGAGAAUCCCCAUCACUACCGGAGCAGCUGCUUUCCUGCCCUGAGGCUCUGUUGUAGUGUUUUCUGGUACCUUUUUACUACACAACUUCUUGGACAAAGCACUCCUGGAUGCUGCACUUAAAUUAUCAGCCUGUGUAAUGCUUGGGAUGGUGCGGAUAAAGAGUGAACAGAAACAGAGUUUUAAAAUGACAAAUCACCCUGUUCCCAGGGAGGGAAGGCAGAAUUCUUUUCCUCUCUCCAAGGCAAAGACUUCAAUGAGCCUUCUGUCCCUCCUGGUUUGUGGGAUUUGUCCUUGGCCAGGGGUGCCAUGGUCAGGGACAGCAUCACCUCCAGCCAUCACCCACCCCCAGUCACACUUACAACAAGGUGUGCCAGGCCUGACUGCAAGUUUUCCCUUUUCCAGGGAUGUCCCAAGGGAAAUUUCUACCUGCCCUGUGCCUGCUGGAGAGAGAAUUGCCCAGGGGCCUCUCAGCAAGCUUUGUUCCCUGUGUCCUAGGCAGUGUAAAUGACUUGGAGCACACCAAAGCCCUCAGCAGCCACGGAAUUGACGUCACCAGGGAGGAAGUACCCACAUGUUCAGCACCAACACAUCAGGAGGAAAUAUUUGAGGAGAGCUGAGCCAAUGCCCUGCUGAGGAGAUCUGCACAUGCGUUCCUUCCCCCUCAGCUCCUGCAUCUCCUGUACUCAGCAGAAGUUAAAGUCAGGUGAACUAUUAUGAAAAAUAAAAAUUCAAAUAUUUACAU